This 21-nucleotide non-coding RNA is filed under the name Rattus norvegicus (Norway rat). Lineage: Eukaryota; Metazoa; Chordata; Mammalia; Rodentia; Muridae. The record is from RNAcentral.
UAGAAGAUGGUGGUGUCCUGU